This 230-nucleotide long non-coding RNA is filed under the name Panax ginseng (ginseng). RNAcentral describes it as "long non-coding RNA (PGIN_LNC014367)". Lineage: Eukaryota; Viridiplantae; Streptophyta; Magnoliopsida; Apiales; Araliaceae. The record is from RNAcentral.
AAACAAUUUAUGUUUAUAUCUUCCGCAAACAGUUGUAGAAAUAGCGAACCGGAUCCGCAGCGAUUCGGGACCCGGAUUCGGGGCUGCUACAUCAAAUACGACUGCUACAGUGUCAAAGGAAAAUCCAUUGUAUCUUCCCCAACGGGUGAUGAAGCCUACCAUCAAAUCAAAAGGGAAAAUACCCAUGGAGAAAAUUGAAAAGUUCCUCCGCACUAUGGGUCAUAACGAAG